Molecule: unclassified non-coding RNA, 4280 nt
Filed under: Hevea brasiliensis (rubber tree)
Lineage: Eukaryota; Viridiplantae; Streptophyta; Magnoliopsida; Malpighiales; Euphorbiaceae
Source: RNAcentral
AAGACCUGGGGUUUUAGACCUCUGUCUUCUUCUUCUCUUCUCUCGCUCGGAAUUUAUGUUCACUAGCUCGGCGCACUCGCCCUCCCUGUUCAGCUAGAUCUCUGACCAGUUAGGCAUUUCAAGUUUCAUGGAAGACCAUAAUCACUAGAGCUACCGUUUACAUAUGUAUCCAAAGCAUUCUAGUCAAGGUGAUGGGCCUGUUCCUAGGCCAGUACGAACAAGUGAUAGGCUCAGGAGGAGGCCAAAAGUUUUUAGUCGGACAUACUUGUAUUACACUCCGACCAUCAUCAGCAGUAGGAAAACUAAAACUAAGACGAGGACAGAUGCUUCUCGAAUUGCCAAGAUGUUGUGUCCAUCAAAUCGGCCAACACGGAACCCAAAUAAUAAUUCAGUUGCGACCAAUCUUCGACGCUCGACCAGAAAGAGGAGGAUUUCUGUAAAUCUUGAAGAUUUUACAGACAGUUCCGGAUCAGAAGAUGAAGACUUGAUGAAACCAACUUGCCGAACCUUGAGGAACCGGAUUGAUAAUAGUGUCAGUCAGGAUGAGUUAUCAUCUCCUAAGCAUAAGAAGACUAUGGAUACCAGAUCAACCCCUCGACGUGAAGGACUACGGCCACGCCGUUCAAAAACAGUAGCAAGAGAACAAUUGAAUUUGGAAUCUGGUGAUGAACAAGAAAAUUUUGAAAAGCUUGUUGAGGAUGAAACUGAAAAUGGGAAUGAAAUCGAUGAUAAUGAUGCAGAUGAUGGUCAGAAUGAUGAUGAAACUGAGGAUGAGGGUGAUGGAGAUGGCGAAGAUGAAGGAGAGGAAGAUGGUGAUGAUGAAGAAGGUGAAGAGGAAGAACAGGAGGGAAGGAGGAGAUAUGAUCUCCGAAAUCGUGCUGAUGUCCGUAGGCUUUCUAUGGAAGAAGCUAAGCAAAGACCAAGAUCUCCUCAAAGGGUAUUGCAUCAAGGAAUAGGUACCAAGGUUAAUAGGGAUGUAAGGAAGGGUGGAUCACGAGUUGACAAGCGUCAUCGUAUAACAAGAGCUGAAGAUUCUGAUGAUUCCCUUCUUGUGGAUGAGCUGGACCAGGGUCCUGCUAUUCCUUGGUCACGAGGAGGGAGUAGAUCUGGUCCGCCUUGGCUCUUUGGGGGACUAGAUGUCCAUGGGACAACAGCAUGGGGACUGAAUGUGGCUGCAUCUGGUUGGGGUCAUCAGGGUGAUACAAUUCCUACAUUAACUUCUGGGAUCCAAACUGCUGGGCCAAGCUCUAAGGGAGGGGCAGAUAUCCAACCUUUACAAGUUGAUGAGAGUGUAAGUUUUGAUGAGAUAGGUGGGCUUUCAGAAUACAUUGAUGCUUUGAAGGAGAUGGUUUUCUUUCCUUUGCUAUAUUCGGAUUUCUUUGCCAGCUAUCACAUCACCCCACCAAGGGGAGUUUUGUUAUGUGGUCCUCCUGGCACUGGCAAAACAUUGAUUGCCAGGGCAUUAGCUUCUGCUGCUUCAAAAGCUGGUCAGAAGGUUAGUUUUUACAUGCGUAAGGGCGCAGAUGUACUUAGUAAAUGGGUAGGUGAGGCUGAAAGACAAUUGAAAUUGCUUUUUGAGGAGGCACAAAGGAAUCAGCCUUCCAUAAUCUUUUUUGAUGAAAUAGAUGGACUUGCUCCUGUGAGGUCAAGCAAACAGGAGCAAAUACACAAUUCUAUUGUUUCCACUUUGCUUGCGUUGAUGGAUGGUCUAGAUUCUCGUGGACAAGUUGUUUUGAUUGGAGCAACCAACAGAGUUGAUGCCAUUGAUGGAGCCUUGCGUCGCCCUGGUCGGUUUGAUCGUGAAUUUAACUUUCCUUUGCCUGGUUGUGAGGCACGUGCUGAAAUACUAGAUAUUCACACCCGAAAAUGGAAGCAGCCUCCUUCAAAGGAACUAAAAUUGGAACUUGCAGCUAGAUGUGUUGGAUAUUGUGGUGCUGAUUUAAAGGCACUAUGCACUGAAGCUGCCAUCCGUGCUUUUCGUGAAAAAUAUCCUCAAGUGUACACAAGUGAUGAUAAGUUUCUGAUUGAUGUUGACUCGGUCAUGGUUGAAAAGUAUCAUUUUGUUGAAGCCAUGUCCACAAUAACCCCUGCUGCUCACAGGGGUGCUGUUGUGCACUCUAGGCCAUUAUCUUUAGUAGUUGCACCAUGUCUGCAAAGACAUCUCCAGAAAGCCAUGAAUUUUAUUUCCGAUAUAUUUUCCCUCCUUGCAGUGUCAUCGGAGUUUACCAAGCUUUCUAUGCUUUCCUAUGGGUCUGCAAUUCCUCUUGUGUACAGGCCACGGCUUUUGCUGUCUGGUGGUGAAGGUUCUGGCCUGGAUCAUCUUGGGCCUGCAAUUUUACAUGAACUGGAGAAAUUUGCAGUUCAUUCUCUUGGACUUCCAUCUCUUCUUUCAGAUCCUAGUGCAAAGACACCAGAGGAAGCAUUGGUACAUAUAUUUGGUGAAGCGAGAAGAACAACGCCUUCAAUCCUUUAUAUGCCUCACUUCAAUCUUUGGUGGGAUAAUGCACAUGAACAGCUAAGGGCUGUUCUGUUGACUCUGUUAGAUGAAUUGCCAUCUGACUUGCCCAUAUUGUUGCUUGGAACUACUACAGAACUACCCAUGGGCAAUGAGACUCAGCCAUUUCCAGUAUUUCCUCAACAUUCCAUCUAUCAAGUGGGCAUACCAUCAGUUGAAGACAGAUCUUUGUUUUUCGACCGUUUAAUUGAAGCUGCUUUAUCAGUUCUGUUAGAGGGCAUAACCAAGAAGUCACAAGGAUCAGUAUCCCUUCCUGAUCUUCCCAAGGUACCAAAAGUGACAAGUGGCCCAAAGGCCUCUGAGUUAAAAGCCAAGAUAGAGGCUGAGCAGCAUGCCCUUCGUCGAAUGCGUAUGUGCCUCAGAGAUAUUUGCAAUCGGAUACUGUAUGACAAACGAUUUAGUGCCUUCCACUAUCCCGUCACAGACGAAGAUGCUCCAAAUUAUCGCUCAAUAAUCCAGAAUCCUAUGGACAUGGCUACUCUACUGCAGCGUGUUGACUCUUGUCAGUAUAUCACGUGCUCAGCAUUCUUGCAAGACAUUGAUCUCAUCGUGACCAAUGCAAAGAUGUAUAAUGGAGAUGAUUACAAUGGUGCCAGGAUUGUUAGUAGGGGUUAUGAGCUUCGAGAUGCAGUGCAUGGAAUGCUGUCACAGAUGGACCCUGCACUUGUUGCAUACUGUGACAAGAUUGCUGCCCAAGGGGGCCCAGUUCAUGUACCAGAUGAUUUUGGGGGAUCUAUUUUCCCAUCAACCCCAGUUGUGCAGCUGACAACUGUUACUAGAGCAAGUGCCCGACUACGUAAUGCACAGCCAGAGGUUAAUCUGGAUCAAAGCUAUGAGGCUUUGAAAAGGCAGAAGAAAAACUUUGAUGUUGCAAGUGCAGGGAUGAGGCAGGGAAGGCGACCUAAAUCAUCCCCGCCCUUUGACACAUGGUGGGACAGGGAUUUGGCACCUGGUUGGGUGGAAAUUGCCAUCUCUAUAGAAAUCCCUGCCAGUAAAUUUAAGCUACCUCGAGAAAAAGGAUGCUGCAAUAUUCUUAGUUGGAGGUGGCUGUUAUAUUAUGUCCUUUGGCUGUUCCAUGAUUCAAGCCAAUCUUUUGUAUUAUUUAAAUUUUAGGUUUGAUACUGACAAUGAACACUGAAGCUAGAUACCCUCGCCAUGUAUGAAUUGAACCCAGCACUCCAUGCUGAAUCCAACAUUUACUGGAUACAUUUUGGUGGAUUAGCCCAUUUGAAGUUUUGAAUGAUAUUUAAUUGUGAGUUAUUUAUAUUUUGAUGAAUAAUGUGAACCUUUGAUCGCUUUAUGCUUUGAUGAAAAUAGCUUUGGCAGCAGAAGAUAAAUCCCAGCAUCAAGACGCAGCACAGGCAAAGCCAUCAGAAGAGCCAGAGGCUAAUGAAAUGGAUCCUGAAAGGCCAGAAUCCUCAUCUGCUGAUGGCAAUAGGCCGGAAACUUCCAGGCAAGCAGAAGCAGAAGCAGAAGCAAGCGGAUCCCUAGACGCUACUAUGUUCGACGCUGAAAUGUCAACCCAUGCAGAGCAUGUCAAGGGUCUUUUUGUGGAGCGCACAGAAAAUUAUGGCAUUCCACAGCUUGAGAGGCUCUACACGCGUAUAAUGAAGGGUGUAUUUGAAACCAAGAACAAAGAAAAGGUUGAAGACGAUCCCAAGUACUCAAUUUUGAAGUUUUUGGUGAAAUUUGCCGGGGAUGAGGCAAAUUUCUGAACUGGGUAUUCCCCCCCAAACGAGAGAAAAAAUGAAAAAAAAAAAAAAAA